CUGUUCAGUCAGAUGUGAACUCCCCGGGCUUACCCUGGGAACUGCAUUUGGAACUGGCAGGCUUGAUUCUUGUAGAGGGGGGUAUAAUUCCGGGUGUAGCGGUGAAAUGCGUACAGAUCUGGAGGAAUACCGGUGGCGAAGGCGGCCCUCUGGACAAAGACUGACGCUCAAGUGCCACUGCGUGGGGAGCAAACAGGAUUAUAUACCCUGGUAGUCCACGCCGUAGACGAUGUCGACUUGGAGGUUGUUCCCUUGAUGAGUGGCUUCCGGAGCUAACGCGUUAAGUCGACCGCCUGGGGAGUACGGCCUUUAGUUAGAACUCUGAUGAAUUGACGGGGGCCCGCACAAGCGGUGGAGCAUGUGGUUUAAUUCGAUGCAACGCGAAGAACCUUACCUACUCUUGACAUCCACGGAAUUUGGCAGAGAUGCCUUAGUGCCUUCGGGAACCGUGAGACAGGUGCUGCAUGGCUGUCGUCAGCUCGUGUUGUGAAAUGUUGGGUUAAGUCCCGCAACGAGCGCAACCCUUAUCCUUUGUUGCCAGCGAUUCGGUCGGGAACUCAAAGGAGACUGCCGGUGAUAAACCGGAGGAAGGUGGGGAUGACGUCAAGUCAUCAUGGCCCUUACGAGUAGGGCUACACACGUGCUACAAUGGCGCAUACAAAGAGAAGCGACCUCGCGAGAGCAAGCGGACCUCACAAAGUGCGUCGUAGUCCGGAUCGGAGUCUGCAACUCGACUCCGUGAAGUCGGAAUCGCUAGUAAUCGUGGAUCAGAAUGCCACGGUGAAUACGUUCCCGGGCCUUGUACAC
Molecule: ribosomal RNA, 807 nt
Filed under: Pantoea agglomerans
Lineage: Bacteria; Pseudomonadati; Pseudomonadota; Gammaproteobacteria; Enterobacterales; Erwiniaceae
Description: bacterial SSU rRNA
Rfam family: Bacterial small subunit ribosomal RNA
Source: RNAcentral